GGGUAAGUGGCGAAAUCCGGUAAACGCGUCAUAUUCAAAAUAUGAUAAUAUCAUUUUGAGGGUUCGAGUCCCUCCUUACCCAC
Molecule: transfer RNA, 83 nt
Filed under: Tolypiocladia glomerulata
Lineage: Eukaryota; Rhodophyta; Florideophyceae; Ceramiales; Rhodomelaceae
Description: tRNA-Leu
Rfam family: tRNA
About the family: Transfer RNA (tRNA) molecules are approximately 80 nucleotides in length. Their secondary structure includes four short double-helical elements and three loops (D, anti-codon, and T loops). Further hydrogen bonds mediate the characteristic L-shaped molecular structure. tRNAs have two regions of fundamental functional importance: the anti-codon, which is responsible for specific mRNA codon recognition, and the 3' end, to which the tRNAs corresponding amino acid is attached (by aminoacyl-tRNA synthetases). tRNAs cope with the degeneracy of the genetic code in two manners: having more than one tRNA (with a specific anti-codon) for a particular amino acid; and 'wobble' base-pairing, i.e. permitting non-standard base-pairing at the 3rd anti-codon position.
Source: RNAcentral